Non-coding RNA from Tulasnella sp. 403, 82 nucleotides. The record is from the annotation of a GenBank genome assembly. Lineage: Eukaryota; Fungi; Basidiomycota; Agaricomycetes; Cantharellales; Tulasnellaceae.
UGCCUCGUAGCGCAAUUGGUUAGCGCGUCUGACUGUUAUCCGGCAUAUCAGGAGGCUGUGAGUUCGAGUCUCACCGAGGCAG